RNAcentral lists this ribosomal RNA (253 nucleotides) under uncultured bacterium. RNAcentral describes it as "partial 16S ribosomal RNA". It matches the Rfam family "Bacterial small subunit ribosomal RNA", at positions 524 to 776 of the family's 1533-position model. The record is from RNAcentral.
UACGUAGGGUGCAAGCGUUAAUCGGAAUUACUGGGCGUAAAGCGUGCGCAGGCGGUUUCGCAAGUCAGAUGUGAAAUCCCCGGGCUUAACCUGGGAACUGCAUUUGAAACUACGAGGCUAGAGUGUGUCAGAGGGGGGUAGAAUUCCACGUGUAGCAGUGAAAUGCGUAGAGAUGUGGAGGAAUACCAAUGGCGAAGGCAGCCCCCUGGGAUAGCACUGACGCUCAUGCACGAAAGCGUGGGGAGCAAACAGG